This 515-nucleotide long non-coding RNA is filed under the name Phoenix dactylifera (date palm). RNAcentral describes it as "long non-coding RNA (PDAC_LNC022131)". Lineage: Eukaryota; Viridiplantae; Streptophyta; Magnoliopsida; Arecales; Arecaceae. The record is from RNAcentral.
UCGACCCAACGUCGGGACCCCACUGUUAAAAGGGGACCCGAGAGCAUUUCUAGGGCACUGUUUGCCCUUUGUCUUCUUCCGAAAAACCUUUUCUCCACUCUCAAAUCUUCUCCAAUCAUCUCCAAACAGUAGAUUUCCUUGAGAUCUUAGAGAAAUGGGACCCAAAAGAGCCGUAGCCAAGAGAUCCGGAAGAGUGACACGGAUCCAACGGGAGGAAAGGCAACCUACCGAGCCAUCUCCCGUGUCUCCACGACGUGAGGCACGUGCGGAGGGCCCUCCUCCUCCUUCUCCCUCAGUGAUACUUGCAAGAUUUGCGGGGAGGCCGGUUACAACGGGGAGAAGGAUCCAUUCCGAGUUCUUCAAUCAAGAAGGGUUUCGGAUUUGGGAAUGAAUCCAAAGGCAAGGUUGGGAGUAUCUUUGCUCCCUAGAUGUGGUUAUCUACCCCGGAUUGGUACAAGAGUUCUAUGCCUUCCUCAAAACUGGUAUGGGAGGGCUUGUUUCGGAAGUUCGAGGGG